UACGAAGGGGGCUAGCGUUGCUCGGAAUCACUGGGCGUAAAGCGCACGUAGGCGGAUUGUUAAGUCAGGGGUGAAAUCCUGGAGCUCAACUCCAGAACUGCCUUUGAUACUGGCGAUCUUGAGUCCGGGAGAGGUGAGUGGAACUGCGAGUGUAGAGGUGAAAUUCGUAGAUAUUCGCAAGAACACCAGUGGCGAAGGCGGCUCACUGGCCCGGUACUGACGCUGAGGAACGAAAGCUAGGGGAGCAAACAGG
This 253-nucleotide ribosomal RNA is filed under the name uncultured bacterium. RNAcentral describes it as "partial 16S ribosomal RNA". It matches the Rfam family "Bacterial small subunit ribosomal RNA", at positions 524 to 776 of the family's 1533-position model. The record is from RNAcentral.